GACGAACGCUGGCGGCGUGCUUAACACAUGCAAGUCGAACGGUGAAGGGACCGGUUUUUGCUGGUUCUGGAUGAGUGGCGAACGGGUGAGUAACACGUGAGUAACCUGCCCCCUUCUUCUGGAUAACCGCAUGAAAGUGUGGCUAAUACGGGAUAUUCUGCGCCUGCUGCAUGGUGGGUGUGGGAAAGAUAUUGUUUCGGUGGGGGAUGGGCUCGCGGCCUAUCAGCUUGUUGGUGGGGUGAUGGCCUACCAAGGCGGUGACGGGUAGCCGGCCUGAGAGGGUGGACGGUCACACUGGGACUGAGACACGGCCCAGACGCGUACGGGAGGCAGCAGUGGGGAAUAUUGCACAAUGGGCGCAAGCCUGAUGCAGCGACGCCGCGUGAGGGAUGGAGGCCUUCGGGUUGUAAACCUCUUUCGCCAGUGAAGCAGGCCUGUCCCUUUUGUGGGUGGGUUGACGGUAGCUGGAUAAGAAGCGCCGGCUAACUACGUG
This 493-nucleotide ribosomal RNA is filed under the name uncultured bacterium. RNAcentral describes it as "partial 16S ribosomal RNA". It matches the Rfam family "Bacterial small subunit ribosomal RNA", at positions 28 to 507 of the family's 1533-position model. The record is from RNAcentral.